CCUACGGGGGGCAGCAGUGGGGAAUAUUGGGCAAUGGGCGCAAGCCUGACCCAGCAACGCCGCGUGAAGGAAGAAGGCUUUCGGGUUGUAAACUUCUUUUAAGAGGGAAGAGAAGAAGACGGUACCUCUUGAAUAAGCCACGGCUAACUACGUGCCAGCAGCCGCGGUAAUACGGAGGAUGCGAGCGUUAUCCGGAUUUAUUGGGUUUAAAGGGUGCGUAGGCGGGCUUUUAAGUCAGCGGUAAAAAUUCGGGGCUCAACCCCGUCCGGCCGUUGAAACUGGGGGCCUUGAGUGGGCGAGAAGAA
Molecule: ribosomal RNA, 305 nt
Filed under: uncultured bacterium
Lineage: Bacteria
Description: bacterial SSU rRNA
Rfam family: Bacterial small subunit ribosomal RNA
Source: RNAcentral